This 497-nucleotide ribosomal RNA is filed under the name uncultured bacterium. RNAcentral describes it as "partial 16S ribosomal RNA". It matches the Rfam family "Bacterial small subunit ribosomal RNA", at positions 28 to 507 of the family's 1533-position model. The record is from RNAcentral.
GAUGAACGCUGGCGGCGUGCCUAAUACAUGCAAGUCGAGCGAACAGACGAGGAGCUUGCUCCUCUGACGUUAGCGGCGGACGGGUGAGUAACACGUGGAUAACCUACCUAUAAGACUGGGAUAACUUCGGGAAACCGGAGCUAAUACCGGAUAAUAUAUUGAACCGCAUGGUUCAAUAGUGAAAGACGGUUUUGCUGUCACUUAUAGAUGGAUCCGCGCCGCAUUAGCUAGUUGGUAAGGUAACGGCUUACCAAGGCGACGAUGCGUAGCCGACCUGAGAGGGUGAUCGGCCACACUGGAACUGAGACACGGUCCAGACUCCCACGGGAGGCAGCAGUAGGGAAUCUUCCGCAAUGGGCGAAAGCCUGACGGAGCAACGCCGCGUGAGUGAUGAAGGUCUUCAGAUCGUAAAACUCUGUUAUUAGGGAAGAACAAAUGUGUAAGUAACUAUGCACGUCUUGACGGUACCUAAUCAGAAAGCCACGGCUAACUACGUG